Molecule: long non-coding RNA, 907 nt
Filed under: Homo sapiens (human)
Lineage: Eukaryota; Metazoa; Chordata; Mammalia; Primates; Hominidae
Description: HSALNT0336522
Source: RNAcentral
CAAUAAAGACAAACAUGAGAAGGUAAGUUGCUCACCUACAUCUUAGUGACUAAUAUAGCUACAUCCCAGGGCUCACAGAACUUUCCCACCUGUGCUUCCUUACAUGAUCCUCACAACACCCCUGCAAACCUACUGCUAUUAUCUUCAUCACUGGUAUUUUAUAGAACAGGAAACUUAGGCCCACGGAAGGUAAGCAACUUUCCUAAAUUCAUAUAAGUGACAAGGGGCUAGGAAAGGGGCUAGGACUCUGAGAUGCUGCUUUUGAAUCAGAAUCCUGUGCUAUUUCCACCAUGCUGAAUUUAUUGGAAAGGAAUGUGUAGAUAUACAGCCUCAGGAAUAACCUUACAUCUCAAUUAAUUAUUGCAAGAUGAUGAAGACAGAAAGGAUUACUGCCCUGAAAUCUCCCUUUGUUUCAGCAGUCACCUUAAAGUGUCCCACUCAUUUCCAUCUGCCUUCCCCACAGAUCUCGUGACUCUCACUGAGGAUGUUUCAGCAGUGUUACUCUGGGGACAGUCUCUGCCCUGUCUCUCUCUCCACGGCCACACUCCUACCUACUGUAGCAACCAGCACCAAGUCUUGAACCAGCUCCUGCUUCUGGAUGACAAGGAUGCAAGUGGCCACGUUGGGAAGGUCCACAUGGCAAGAACUGAGGAUGGCCUCCAGCCAAAAUCCAGGAAGAAACCGAGGCCCUCAAUCCAAUAACACACAAGUAACUGAAUGCUGUCAACACCACAUGAGCUUAGAAGCAGAUCCUUCCCCAGCUGAGCCUCCAAUGAGAUUGCAGCCCCAGCUGACACCUUUGUUGCACCUUUAUAAGACCCUGAAGCAGAGAACCCAGCUAAACCAUGUCCAGUCUCCUAACCCACAGAAAAUGAGAUAAUAAAUAUGUGCCACUUUAAGCCUCUAA